CAGUAGCCGCGGUAAAACAGAGGGUGCAAACGUUGUUCGGAAUUACUGGACGUAAAGCGAGUGUAGGCGGUCUCGUAAGUCGGACGUGAAAGCCCCGGGCUCAACCUGGGAAUUGCAGUGGAUACUGGGUCACUAGAGUGUGGUAGAGGAUAGUGGAAUUUCCGGUGUAGCAGUGAAAUGCGUAGAGAUCGGAAGGAACAUCUGUGGCGAAGGCGACUAUCUGGGCCAACACUGACACUGAGGCACGAAAGCGUGGGGAGCAAACAGGAUUAGAUACCCCUGUAGUCCCUGUCUCUUAUAC
Molecule: ribosomal RNA, 301 nt
Filed under: uncultured bacterium
Lineage: Bacteria
Description: partial 16S ribosomal RNA
Rfam family: Bacterial small subunit ribosomal RNA
Source: RNAcentral